Long non-coding RNA from Hipposideros armiger (great roundleaf bat), 1852 nucleotides. RefSeq lists it as uncharacterized. The record is from RefSeq and is a predicted model, not a curated record. NCBI's taxonomy places the organism in Eukaryota, Metazoa, Chordata, Mammalia, Chiroptera, Hipposideridae. The transcript has 3 exons.
GCGACCCCUGUGAAAGGGUCGUUCGACCCCCAAAGGGGUCGUGACCCACAGGUUGAGAACCGCUGUCAUACAACUUUUAUAUCUGAGAGAGAUUGUGCUGAUGUUUUCUCUUGUUCUAAGUUCAAAUGUGCCAGGACAGCUCACACCCAUUAGGAUGGCUCCUAUCAAGAAAUCAGGAAAUAAUUAAUGUUGAUAAAGAUUUGGAGAAAUUGGAAUGCUUGUGUACUGUAGGUAGAAAUGGAAAACGGUACAGCCACUAUGGAAAACAGCAUGCCAACCGGUUUUCUCCAAAUGGUCAAUUGGAAGUUUCUACACCUCACUUCUCAUAGCUUUUUCCCGCUACAAAGAAGUGGACCUGCUUCCCAAGUUUGAAAAUCUCAGGGAAGAACUACGAGUAGAACUGAAUCCUGUUGUCUCCCCCUGGAUUAAGCAGGAAAGCCAGUCACCUAAGAACAUGGCAAUUCCUUAUAGAACCAUAUGACUAAAGUGGAGCUGAGGGAAAAAAGUUUUUAGAAAGAGGGUGGGCAUGGGAUUGAUGCUUAGUAGACCAAACAGUAGGUGUCCACAGCAGUGACACAGAGCCAGUAAGUGGCAGAUUAAGAGAGUAGCCUGGGUCUUUUGACUAUACGGUAAUUACUGAGUUCUUCCCACGCAAAAGGAAGGCUCUGUCUCUGCAAGGCCCCUGGGACAGUGCAUUCUCAAGUGUGACCCAUCAGCCUUGGAGUCACCAGAUGUGGGGUGAUGAGCCAGCUGAAACUGAGACAAUCAUUUUGUCCUAUGUCUUCUGCCUGAGCUUCCUUAUUAAUAUCAAGGGGAUCGAAGGAUAAAGACCUUUAUAUAAAUGUUAUUUGUGGAUUCAAAAAUGUCUCCAUGUCCUACUAGAUCUGCAUAAUGAGGUAGAGUCGCAUGAAAACCAGUGGGUUCCUGAUGAUGAUGGAAGUGCCAGCCCACCCUCUUCAAAUUUUCACCAUCAGAAUCUUCACACGCCCUGGAGGAACCCCCUUCUUGAUAGUGGCGCUCAUGGCUUUCAGUUGUUUUAAAUGGCAGCAUGUAAAGGGUGCUGAGAAUUCAGUGAUCAUCUGGUUCAGUUGUUUUCAAACUUGCUUCAGCUGUGGAUCCUUAUUUUUCUUCCUCCAAAUAAAACGUCACCUGAAUUGCGUUAUAUAACAUAGAUUGAAGCAGAGUGGCUAGGAUCUGGGUGGGCCACAGGUGCCUCGAACCCUCUGAUUCAGUCUCCUCUCCUGUGGAGCACACCUUGCAAGUCUCUCAUCUAGGUUAGCCAUUUUAUUUCGCAGAUGGAGAAACUGAGGCCCAGAGAGGUGGAGUGGGCCACCGACCACAGAACACAGACUAGCAGUGCUGUGACUGGAUCCCUGGUCUCCUGGCUUAGGAGUUGUGUUCUUUCUAUUGUAUCCUGGUGCUUCUGGCUGUUUCAAAUGAGCACUCCAACAAAGUGGUUGUGUUUUUCUUCAGGUUCAUAAUAACUUGAACUGGACUAACAUGAAGGCAAGUAGAGGACGUUGGGAGCCUAAAAUCUAAUAAACAGGUCUCAGUUUCCUCAUCUGCCAAAUCAGAUGAUUGUGAGGAUGAAAGAGAUAAUACACUGAAGUAUUUGGCACAUGCCAGCCGCUCGACAGAAGCCAGGAUGACUCACUCUGGGAGAAGCCAACUACCAUAUUAUGAGGACACUCAAGCAUCCUUAUGGAGAGGUCUACAAAAUGAAGACACUUAGGCCUCCUGACGACAGCCAGCACUGUCUUGCCAGGUGUGGGCGCACCACCUUGGAAGUGGAUCCUCCGGCCCCAGAGGGCAGUGUCGCUGGCCCCCAUGUGGGAUCUGAACCGGGGCCCUG